This 45-nucleotide ribosomal RNA is filed under the name Phyllactinia taurica. RNAcentral's name for it is "Leveillula taurica partial 26S ribosomal RNA". The record is from RNAcentral. Lineage: Eukaryota; Fungi; Ascomycota; Leotiomycetes; Helotiales; Erysiphaceae. RNAcentral also lists the same sequence under 5 other names.
UUGACCUCGAAUCAGGUAGGGAUACCCGCUGAACUUAAGCAUAUC